RNAcentral lists this ribosomal RNA (760 nucleotides) under uncultured bacterium. RNAcentral describes it as "bacterial SSU rRNA". It matches the Rfam family "Bacterial small subunit ribosomal RNA", at positions 61 to 801 of the family's 1533-position model. The record is from RNAcentral.
GUCGAACGCGAAAGUCCCGCAAGGGAUGAUUAGAGUGGCAAACGGGUGAGUAACACGUGGGUGACCUGCCUUCGAGUGGGGGAUAACGCUCCGAAAGGGACGCUAAUACCGCAUAACAUCCUGCCUUUUAAGAGGUGGAGAUCAAAGCCUGGGACCGCAAGGCCAGGCGCUUGACGAGGGGCCCGCGUCUGAUUAGCUAGUUGGUGGGGUAAUGGCUCACCAAGGCAACGAUCAGUAUCCGGCCUGAGAGGGCGGACGGACACACUGGGACUGAGACACGGCCCAGACUCCUACGGGAGGCAGCAGUGGGGAAUUGUUCGCAAUGGGCGCAAGCCUGACGACGCAACGCCGCGUGGAGGAUGAAGACCUUCGGGUCGUAAACUCCUUUCGAUCGAGACGAAUGGCCUCCGGGUGAACAAUCCGGAGGAGUGACGGUACCGAGAGAAGAAGCCCCGGCUAACUCCGUGCCAGCAGCCGCGGUAAUACGGGGGGGGCAAGCGUUGUUCGGAAUUACUGGGCGUAAAGGGCUCGUAGGUGGCCAACUAAGUCAGACGUGAAAUCCCUCGGCUUAACCGGGGAACUGCGUCUGAUACUGGAUGGCUUGAGUUUGGGAGAGGGACGCGGAAUUCCAGGUGUAGCGGUGAAAUGCGUAGAUAUCUGGAGGAACACCGGUGGCGAAGGCGGCGUCCUGGACCACACUGACACUGAGGAGCGAAAGCCAGGGGAGCAAACGGGAUUAGAUACCCCGGUAGUCCUGGCC